RNAcentral lists this ribosomal RNA (445 nucleotides) under uncultured bacterium. RNAcentral's name for it is "partial 16S ribosomal RNA". It matches the Rfam family "Bacterial small subunit ribosomal RNA", at positions 354 to 796 of the family's 1533-position model. The record is from RNAcentral.
GUGAGGAAUAUUGGACAAUGGAUGGAAAUCUGAUCCAGCCAUGCCGCGUGCAGGAAGACGGCCCUAUGGGUUGUAAACUGCUUUUAUACGGGAGCAAUAAGGUCUAUGCAUAGAUUGAUGAGAGUACCGUAUGAAUAAGCAUCGGCUAACUCCGUGCCAGCAGCCGCGGUAAUACGGAGGAUGCGAUCGUUAUCCGGAUUUAUUGGGUUUAAAGGGUGCGUAGGCGGCUUUGUAAGUCAGCGGUGAAAUUUUGCAGCUUAACUGUAAAAGCGCCGUUGAUACUGUGAAGCUAGGAUUUGGUUGCUGUGGGCGGAAUGUGUGGUGUAGCGGUGAAAUGCAUAGAGAUCACACAGAAUAUCGAUUGCGAAGGCAGCUCACAAAGCCAAUAUUGACGCUGAGGCACGAAAGUGUGGGGAUCAAACAGGAUUAGAAACCCCAGUAGUCC